UGGGGAAUCUUGGUCAAUGGGCGAAAGCCUGAACCAGCCAUGCCGCGUGUGUGAAGAAGGCCCUAGGGUUGUAAAGCACUUUAAGCAGGAAAGAAAAAGCCCGGGCCAAUACCCCGAGGCCUUGACGGUACCUGCAGAAUAAGCACCGGCAAACUCCGUGCCAGCAGCCGCGGUAAUACGGAGGGUGCAAGCGUUAAUCGGAAUUACUGGGCGUAAAGCGUGCGUAGGCGGCGUUGCAAGUCGGAUGUGAAAGCCCCGGGCUCAACCUGGGAAUUGCAUUCGAAACUGUAGUGCUAGGGUGUGGUAGAGGAAGACGGAAUUCCACGUGUAGCGGUGAAAUGCGUAGAUAUGUGGAGGAACACCGAUGGCGAAGGCAAUCUUCUGGGCCAACACUGACGCUGAGGUACGAAAGCGUGGGUAGCCAACAGGAUUAGAUACCCCCGUAGUCC
This 449-nucleotide ribosomal RNA is filed under the name uncultured prokaryote. Its description in RNAcentral is "bacterial SSU rRNA". It matches the Rfam family "Bacterial small subunit ribosomal RNA", at positions 355 to 796 of the family's 1533-position model. The record is from RNAcentral.